Molecule: long non-coding RNA, 449 nt
Filed under: Vigna radiata
Lineage: Eukaryota; Viridiplantae; Streptophyta; Magnoliopsida; Fabales; Fabaceae
Description: long non-coding RNA (VRAD_LNC012848)
Source: RNAcentral
GUUCUUCCCAAAGGACUCAAAGGCCUAAUCUUUCGUGUAACCCAAUUGCUUAAGACUUGAGAAAAGAAUUAAUUUUAAUGUGUGAAUGCAAAGAACAAAACUAAACAUGCAAAUGCAAAUGAUUCAAUUGGCGAGGAAAAACUAUGAAUGAAUGGAGUUGUUGGCGUUUACAAUUUCAUCUUAUCCCACUCUCAUAUAUCUACUUUUCUUAUUUACUUCACUUACUUAUCCAAUUGCCAUGCAAACUUUCUAGCCUACCUUUAACCCAAUCCCUUGGUGAAAAAAGCCUAUUAUUAAUUACCGGCUUGCUAUCCCUAGCCUCCCCUAGUAACUAAUAAUGCAAUGUGAACGGAAGCAAAAUACAAUUGAUNGUCCUACCCCUAUCCCUAGGCGGUAUUAGCAUAAUCAAGGAAUUUCUCACCAGUUCAUGACAUUAUCGUACGUCCCCG